CCCGAUAAGACGAGGAUAACUACUGGAAACGGUAGCUAAUACUGGAUAGUAUAUGAAGUCGCAUUGGCUUUAUAUUUAAAGGUGCUCUCAAGCAUCGACUUAUGGAUGGACCUGCGGCGCAUUAGCUAGUUGGUGACGGUAACGGCCCACCAAGGCGACGAUGCGUAGCCGGACUGAGAGGUUGAACGGCCACAUUGGGACUGAGACACGGCCCAGACUCCUACGGGAGGCAGCAGUAGGGAAUUUUCGGCAAUGGACGCAAGUCUGACCGAGCAACGCCGACGUGAGUGAUGAAGUUCUUCGGAACGUAAAAUUCUUUUAUUUGGAAAAACGUAUAGUGUAGGAAAUGACAUUAUAGUGAUGGUACCAAAUGAAUAAGCCCCGGCUAACUACGUGCCAGCCGCCGC
RNAcentral lists this ribosomal RNA (407 nucleotides) under uncultured bacterium. RNAcentral's name for it is "bacterial SSU rRNA". It matches the Rfam family "Bacterial small subunit ribosomal RNA", at positions 128 to 518 of the family's 1533-position model. The record is from RNAcentral.